AUCUGAAUCUCAUGGAAACAUCUGAGCUGCAUGAUAAUCAUGAUCAUGAUCCAAUUCUUAUCUAUCCCUCCAUUUCGGAAAUGAAGAAAGGGACAGAACCAGUUGAUAUUGAUCUAUCCAUUAGUCAUGCCAGUGUAUCUGGUGGAUUCAGUACUUGUACAACAGGCAGCAAAGAGAUUGAAAUAAUUGAUCUAGAAAGUGAUUCUGUUCAAGAAGGAAGACCUGCUGACAAUAAGGAGAGAAAGACAGAGGCAAUGUUUGCAGGUCUUGAAGGCUUUUCUAACCACGCUCAAAAUGCUGCUGAAUUACAUGAUGUCCAGGAUGGUGGUUAUGGGCUAAUGCUGUCAGAAUGCUUGGGUCUGAUUUCCCAAACUGUUCUUCAGUGCCAGGGGAUAUGAACUCUGUGCACAAUGAAAUGGGCCUUCAUAAUGGACCGGGAAACUUGGUGAGGAUGAUUCAAUAUAUAUGACGCUGGGGGAAAUACCAUUAAGCUUUUUGCAGAACUGGGAGCAGCCACCAUCACAGGAGUACGAGAAGCACUUCUAAUCUGUCCCUCGAUUUCUCUAAUGGGGCAUGAUUUAUUGCGAGAAAUUGUCUGGGCUCAUCAUGCCUUUUGAAUAGAUUCUUUCUUCAACUACGGCGACUCACCCAAAAUAGGAGCUUUCACUUCAGCAGAAGGCAGGAUACCAUUAAGUUGUGGAAUGCAUGAGUCGCAAAACACCUGAUGAAAACGUUUCUGCAACUCUGUUUUGUUCCUUGUAAAUCCUCGGGGAUCAAACCAUCGUGGAAUUUCCGGGCGAAGUCCUGCAUAAUCAGUUUGUGAACCUUUUCUCUUUUUAUAAUUAAAAAUCAAUUUGUAAACCCUUGUGUUGCUUUCUGUACCAUUAUCAAUGGUGGUACCAAGUCGUGUUUUAAAAGGUAGCGUGGAA
Long non-coding RNA from Neltuma alba, 929 nucleotides. RefSeq lists it as uncharacterized. Lineage: Eukaryota; Viridiplantae; Streptophyta; Magnoliopsida; Fabales; Fabaceae. The transcript is spliced from 5 exons. The record is from RefSeq and is a predicted model, not a curated record.